Molecule: ribosomal RNA, 330 nt
Filed under: uncultured bacterium
Lineage: Bacteria
Description: bacterial SSU rRNA
Rfam family: Bacterial small subunit ribosomal RNA
Source: RNAcentral
UCCGUAGGCGGUGUGGCAAGUCGGAAGUGAAAUCUCUGGGCUUAACUCAGAGGCUGCUUCCGAAACUGCCGUGCUAGAGUGCGAGAGAGGCAAGUGGAAUUGCGGGUGUAGCGGUGAAAUGCGUAGAUAUCCGCAGGAACAUCCGAGGCGAAAGCGGCUUGCUGGAUCGCAACUGACGCUGAGGGACGAAAGCUAGGGGAGCAAACAGGAUUAGAUACCCUGGUAGUCCUAGCCCUAAACCAUCAGGACUUGGGGUUUGCACUGUACGGGGCAAGUCCCGUAGCUAACGCGUUAAGUCCUGCGCCUGGGGAGUACGGUCGCAAGGCUGAA